Molecule: ribosomal RNA, 403 nt
Filed under: bacterium
Lineage: Bacteria
Description: partial 16S ribosomal RNA
Rfam family: Bacterial small subunit ribosomal RNA
Source: RNAcentral
UGGGGAAUAUUGCACAAUGGAGGGAACUCUGAUGCAGCGACGCCGCGUGAACGAAGAAGGCUUUCGAGUCGUAAAGUUCUUUUAUAUGGGAAGAUAAUGACGGUACCAUAAGAAGAAGCCCCGGCUAACUACGUGCCAGCAGCCGCGGUAAUACGUAGGGGGCUAGCGUUGUCCGGAAUCACUGGGUGUAAAGGGUUCGCAGGCGGAAAUGCAAGUCAGGUGUAAAAGGCAGUAGCUUAACUACUGUAAGCAUUUGAAACUGCAUAUCUUGAGAAGAGUAGAGGUAAGUGGAAUUUUUAGUGUAGCGGUGAAAUGCGUAGAUAUUAAAAAGAAUACCGGUGGCGAAGGCGACUUACUGGGCUCAUUCUGACGCUGAGGAACGAAAGCGUGGGUAGCAAACAGG